RNAcentral lists this ribosomal RNA (253 nucleotides) under uncultured bacterium. RNAcentral describes it as "partial 16S ribosomal RNA". It matches the Rfam family "Bacterial small subunit ribosomal RNA", at positions 524 to 776 of the family's 1533-position model. The record is from RNAcentral.
UACAGAGGUGGCAAGCGUUGUUCGGAAUUACUGGGCGUAAAGGGCGCGUAGGCGGCCUGAUAAGUAGGGGGUGAAAUCUUGCGGCUUAACCGCAAGGCUGCCUUCUAAACUGUCAGGCUAGAGCACAGUAGAGGCAGGUGGAAUUCCCGGUGUAGCGGUGGAAUGCGUAGAGAUCGGGAGGAACACCAGUGGCGAAGGCGACUACCUGGCCUGUUCUUGACGCUGAGGCGCGAAAGCUAGGGGAGCAAACGGG